CUCAGGUUUGUUUUUCAUCCCUA
Molecule: non-coding RNA, 23 nt
Filed under: Arabidopsis thaliana (thale cress)
Lineage: Eukaryota; Viridiplantae; Streptophyta; Magnoliopsida; Brassicales; Brassicaceae
Source: RNAcentral